Long non-coding RNA from Haliotis rubra (blacklip abalone), 209 nucleotides. RefSeq lists it as uncharacterized. The record is from RefSeq and is a predicted model, not a curated record. NCBI's taxonomy places the organism in Eukaryota, Metazoa, Mollusca, Gastropoda, Lepetellida, Haliotidae. The transcript is spliced from 3 exons.
GGUUGAAAGAGAUUUCGGAUUCAUAAAAAUGAAGUUGUCCCUCAGUAUAGCACUGCUCGUGGCUACAUGCCUAGUAGUCUGCAGAGCACAGACAGGCAGUGUCUUCAACUGCAAGAACCCGGGUAACAACUGCAUCAACGGAGUGUGCAACUACUCCAACGGCAUUUGCGUUUGCAACACUGGCUAUGAAGGAGAGAGCUGCCACAUCU